RNAcentral lists this small RNA (2740 nucleotides) under Pongo abelii (Sumatran orangutan). RNAcentral describes it as "retained intron". Lineage: Eukaryota; Metazoa; Chordata; Mammalia; Primates; Hominidae. The record is from RNAcentral.
CAGGAUUAAUGUGAGGGAUAAUGGGCCAUCAUCUGCAUCUUUAUACUUUAGUAAGCUAGCAAGCAUCUAAUAUUUAUGAAAUUAUAAAUACGUGUUUGUAUAUAAUCUCAUACCCCUUCUUAGGCUGAAGGAAAUAGAAGAACGGCUGCAUGGAUUGAAAGCAUCAUCUAUGACACAAACACCUGCCUUAAGAUUUAAGGUUGAGAAUUUCUUCUGUAUGGGAUCCCCAUUAGCAGUUUUCUUGGCUUUGCGUGGCAUCCGCCCAGGAAAUACUGGAAGUCAAGACCAUAUUUUGCCUAGAGAGAUUUGUAACCGGUUACUAAAUAUUUUUCAUCCUACAGAUCCAGUGGCUUAUAGAUUAGAACCAUUAAUACUGAAACACUACAGCAACAUUUCACCUGUCCAGAUCCACUGGUACAAUACUUCAAAUCCUCUACCUUAUGAACAUAUGAAGCCAAGCUUUCUCAACCCAGCUAAAGAACCUACCUCAAUUUCAGAGAAUGAAGGCAUUUCAACCAUACCAAGCCCUGUGACCUCACCAGUCUUGUCCCGCCGACACUAUGGAGAAUCUAUAACAAAUAUAGGCAAAGCAAGCAUAUUAGGGGCUGCUAGCAUUGGAAAGGGACUUGGAGGAAUGUUGUUCUCAAGAUUUGGACGUUCAUCUACAACACAGUCAUCUGAAACAUCAAAAGACUCAAUGGAAGAUGAGAAGAAGCCAGUUGCCUCACCUUCUGCUACCACCGUAGGGACACAGACCCUUCCACAUAGCAGUUCUGGCUUCCUUGAUUCUGCAUGUUAGUUCAUACAUUAUUUCCUUAAGUUUAUACUGUAUCUUUUUAAAACUUGGGGAGGGCAGGGAGGUAUAAGAUAUUAAUACUAGCUAGUCAACUCUAAGAUCUAAAGUGUGCCUUAACUUUGAAAGAAAAAAAAUGCUUUCCUUCUGCUUAUAUUUUUAAGAAUAAUUUCCAGGAAAAUGCAGUUUUAUUUUCUGCAUUGAUGAAUUAAUAGAAUAUUAAUAAUUAGGGCCUUGUGGCACAGGGUCUUAAACAUCAAGCAUAAAACAAAUCUCUUUAGGGUAAGUACCCCCUGAAGUUUAUAAAGUAGAUUUUUACUAAUGUGAUCUUCUCAGUCUCAAAAAUCAUGUAAUUAUUGCUUUAGACCUGUGCUGUAUCUGGUCUUGAGACUUGAAAAACUGCUAUACCCAAAGUCAUCCUACUUCUAUUCAAAGCUUAGAAAUUUUAUUGGAUCUGCUGAAUGGCUUCCAAUUCUAUCCCAGCUACCUAGUGUAAAGCAGAUAUUGAAAAAAUGAGUAAAUAAAUGGAUAGUUAUAUUGGACUUAGCAUUAUAUGGAUCUUUAUUUAAGCUUUCUCUGGUGGACUUAGGAAGUUUGAAAUGUUGAGUAGUUGUGAAACACUAAUACACUUAGUAUAUAUUUACUUCCAAGAGUCUGAACUUGAACAUUAUUUUUAGGUGUCCAGUAAAAUAAAACUAAAACAUCAAGUCCUAAUUUUUUCAUCGACACCUAUAAAGAAAUAUAAAUUCUGAAACUAGCUACUCCUUUUCUGGAACUAUAGCAGGGAGAAAACUUUUCUUUCUCUAGAAAUUUUUAAACAGAUUUUAUUUGUUACUUAUAGUGUUGUGUUGUUACUGUGUCUGCUACUCUAAAUUGUAAAAUGAUGGCAUUCAUUGCCAUCCAUCCUUAGAAAGUUCAGGUGUGACACUCCUAGAGGCUGAAUAAUUCUUCCACAGUCAACUCCACUCCAGGAUAAAUUAUUAAUAGGGUUGAACGUUCCUACUUGGGCCAACAGCAUUUUUAAUUUAAUUAUAUCUGUGCCAGACUCUGGACACUGAAAAUUUUAUAAGUGCGAGUCUGGAAACUUCUUUUUUAGACUUUGAUAUUUGCAUUAAAUAUAUUUUACUUUUCCUAUAAGAGUUCUCAUACUAUUUCUGACUUGUUUCCUUUUCUACUUAAUAUCAAAAAUGUGAUUGUGAAAAUACAAAAUUCUGUUGUGACAUGCAGAUGUCAAGAAAACUCUAACUCCUGAGGAAAAUUAAUUUCAAAGAAUUUUGUAAGGUAGCAGGUAAAAAGUCAUGGUUCUCUGUAAUGGCAUUAAUGCGCAACAGUAGUGCUAGUAAACAUUAGAGUGAGUGAGAGAGCAAGAAGAGCAGGGUAGGGUUUAACCCCCUAGAAAAAGGGUAAUGAAAACGUAUGUAUAGAAUCUACAGGCUCUGAGGGAAUAAAACUUUUUUAGUUUUUUUUUUUCUGUUUAACAUAGUAAUUUCAAAAUAAUAGAGAAACCCCUAGUUUUUUCUUCCAGAACAGCAGUUAGUAGAGGUGCAUAGCUGUAUUGCAUCUUUUUAUUUUGAGAGCUUAACAAAAUACUAUGUCAUUCUUACACAUAAAUUCUUUGAUAGUCCAAAUGGUAAAUUUGUCAACAAGACUCAAUAUGAGGUAAUUAUGAGUCUUACACAUAUUCACAUAUUACACAUAUAUUAUACAUAUUACACAUAUAUUAUACAUAUUACACAUAUUCACCUCUAGAUAUAGAUAUAACUAUUAAAAUUGGACUAUUAUAAUAAGAUUCUGCCUUUUAAAUCUUAUUCCCAAGAUUUGCUUUACUAAUUAUUUGGCUUGCUUCAAUAACGUAAUCUGUGUAAUCGUCAUAAUUUCUUGUCGUAAGUGCUGUCUUGGCUAUAUCAUGCAAAUCAUAAAACUUUUCUUCAUUAAAUCUUCUUUCUG